This 734-nucleotide ribosomal RNA is filed under the name uncultured Enterobacteriaceae bacterium. RNAcentral describes it as "bacterial SSU rRNA". It matches the Rfam family "Bacterial small subunit ribosomal RNA", at positions 767 to 1502 of the family's 1533-position model. Lineage: Bacteria; Pseudomonadati; Pseudomonadota; Gammaproteobacteria; Enterobacterales; Enterobacteriaceae. The record is from RNAcentral.
AGCAAACAGGAUUAGAUACCCUGGUAGUCCACGCUGUAAACGAUGUCGAUUUGGAGUUUGUUGCCUAGAGUGAUGGGCUCCGAAGCUAACGCGAUAAAUCGACCGCCUGGGGAGUACGGCCGCAAGGUUAAAACUCAAAUGAAUUGACGGGGGCCCGCACAAGCGGUGGAGCAUGUGGUUUAAUUCGAUGCAACGCGAAGAACCUUACCUGGUCUUGACAUCCAUAGAAUUCUGCAGAGAUGUGGGAGUGCCUUCGGGAACUAUGAGACAGGUGCUGCAUGGCUGUCGUCAGCUCGUGUUGUGAAAUGUUGGGUUAAGUCCGCAACGAGCGCAACCCUUAUUCUUUGUUGCCAGCGAUUUGGUCGGGAACUCAAAGGAGACUGCCGUUGAUAAAGCGGAGGAAGGUGGGGACGACGUCAAGUCAUCAUGGCCCUUACGACCAGGGCUACACACGUGCUACAAUGGCGUAUACAAAGGGAAGCGAAGGUGCGAGCUGGAGCGGAUCUCAUAAAGUACGUCUAAGUUCGGAUUGGAGUCUGCAACUCGACUCCGUGAAGUCGGAAUCGCUAGUAAUCGUAGAUCAGAAUGCUACGGUGAAUACGUUCCCGGGCCUUGUACACACCGCCCGUCACACCAUGGGAGUGGGUUGCACCAGAAGUAGAUAGCUUAACCGCGAGGGGGGCGUUUACCACGGUGUGAUUCAUGACUGAGGUGAAGUCGUAACAAGGUAACCA